Molecule: transfer RNA, 73 nt
Organism: Ictidomys tridecemlineatus (thirteen-lined ground squirrel)
Lineage: Eukaryota; Metazoa; Chordata; Mammalia; Rodentia; Sciuridae
Rfam family: tRNA
About the family: Transfer RNA (tRNA) molecules are approximately 80 nucleotides in length. Their secondary structure includes four short double-helical elements and three loops (D, anti-codon, and T loops).
Source: Rfam
UAGAUUGAAACCAGUUGAGUAAGGCGUUUAGCUGUUAACUAAGAUAUUAUGGAUUUGAAUCCCAUCAGUCUAG